This 91-nucleotide transfer RNA is filed under the name Bacteroidales bacterium. RNAcentral's name for it is "tRNA-Ser". It matches the Rfam family "tRNA". Rfam says of the family: Transfer RNA (tRNA) molecules are approximately 80 nucleotides in length. Their secondary structure includes four short double-helical elements and three loops (D, anti-codon, and T loops). RNAcentral also lists the same sequence under 3 other names. Lineage: Bacteria; Pseudomonadati; Bacteroidota; Bacteroidia; Bacteroidales. The record is from RNAcentral.
GGAGAGAUGGUCGAGUUGGUUUAAGGCACCGGUCUUGAAAACCGGCGUACCUUUACGGGUACCGAGGGUUCGAAUCCCUCUCUCUCCGCCA